GAGAGCAUAGCUCAAGUGGCAGAGUGUGUGCUUAGCAUGUACCAGGUCCUGGGUUCAAUCCCCAGUACCUCCA
Molecule: transfer RNA, 73 nt
Filed under: Camelus bactrianus (Bactrian camel)
Lineage: Eukaryota; Metazoa; Chordata; Mammalia; Artiodactyla; Camelidae
Also listed under: 1 other name
Rfam family: tRNA
About the family: Transfer RNA (tRNA) molecules are approximately 80 nucleotides in length. Their secondary structure includes four short double-helical elements and three loops (D, anti-codon, and T loops).
Source: Rfam by way of RNAcentral